Molecule: transfer RNA, 65 nt
Filed under: Caldifarciminota bacterium
Lineage: Bacteria; Pseudomonadati; Caldifarciminota
Description: tRNA-Thr
Rfam family: tRNA
About the family: Transfer RNA (tRNA) molecules are approximately 80 nucleotides in length.
Source: RNAcentral
GUGUGGCUCAGUGGUAGAGCAGCGCUUUCGUAAAGCGCGGGUCGGCGGUUCAAAUCCGCCCACCA